ACAUGCAAGUCGAACGAUGAACUUGGAGCUUGCUCUGGGGGAUUAGUGGCGAACGGGUGAGUAACACGUGAGUAACCUGCCCUUGACUCUGGGAUAACCUCCGGAAACGGAAGCUAAUACCGGAUAUGACGUACGGAGGCAUCUCCUGUGCGUGGAAAGAAUUUUGGUCAAGGAUGGACUCGCGGCCUAUCAGGUAGUUGGUGAGGUAAUGGCUCACCAAGCCUACGACGGGUAGCCGGCCUGAGAGGGUGACCGGCCACACUGGGACUGAGACACGGCCCAGACUCCUACGGGAGGCAGCAGUGGGGAAUAUUGCACAAUGGGCGCAAGCCUGAUGCAGCAACGCCGCGUGAGGGACGACGGCCUUCGGGUUGUAAACCUCUUUUAGUAGGGAAGAAGCGAAAGUGACGGUACCUGCAGAAAAAGCACCGGCUAACUACGUGCCAGCAGCCGCGGUAAUACGUAGGGUGCAAGCGUUGUCCGGAAUUAUUGGGCGUAAAGAGCUCGUAGGCGGUUUGUCGCGUCUGCUGUGAAAUCCCGAGGCUCAACCUCGGGCCUGCAGUGGGUACGGGCAGACUAGAGUGCGGUAGGGGAGAAUGGAAUUCCUGGUGUAGCGGUGGAAUGCGCAGAUAUCAGGAGGAACACCGAUGGCGAAGGCAGUUCUCUGGGCCGUAACUGACGCUGAGGAGCGAAAGCGUGGGGAGCGAACAGGAUUAGAUACCCUGGUAGUCCACGCCGUAAACGUUGGGCGCUAGAUG
This 758-nucleotide ribosomal RNA is filed under the name Cryocola sp. RNAcentral's name for it is "bacterial SSU rRNA". It matches the Rfam family "Bacterial small subunit ribosomal RNA", at positions 53 to 822 of the family's 1533-position model. The record is from RNAcentral. Lineage: Bacteria; Bacillati; Actinomycetota; Actinomycetes; Micrococcales; Microbacteriaceae.